AAUGAACGUUGGCGGCAUGGAUUAGGCAUGCAAGUCGAGCGGGCGUAGCAAUACGUCAGCGGCGUAAGGGACAGGAACACGUAGAUUACCUGCCCUCGGGUCUGGGAUAGCCACGGGAAACUGUGGGUAAUACCAGAUGAUAUCUCCGGAUCAAAGGUGUGAUUCCGCCCGAGGAUGGGUCUGCGUCCUAUUAGCUAGUUGGUGAGGUAAUGGCUCACCAAGGCGAUGAUGGGUAGCAGGUGUGAGAGCACGACCUGCGUCAUUGGGACUGAGACACUGCCCAGACCCCUACGGGUGGCUGCAGUCGAGAAUUUUUGGCAAUGGGCGAAAGCCUGACCAAGCGAUGCCGCGUGCGGGAUGAAGGCCUUCGGGUUGUAAACCGCUGUCAGUGAGGAGGAAAGCUUUGUGAAGAGCAAGGCUUGACCUAUCCGCAGAGGAAGUGUGGGCUAAGUUCGUGCCAGCCGCCGCCGUAA
This 473-nucleotide ribosomal RNA is filed under the name uncultured bacterium. Its description in RNAcentral is "partial 16S ribosomal RNA". It matches the Rfam family "Bacterial small subunit ribosomal RNA", at positions 29 to 523 of the family's 1533-position model. The record is from RNAcentral.